Molecule: RNA transcript, 2264 nt
Organism: Chiloscyllium plagiosum (whitespotted bambooshark)
Lineage: Eukaryota; Metazoa; Chordata; Chondrichthyes; Orectolobiformes; Hemiscylliidae
Gene: orc5
Gene name: origin recognition complex, subunit 5
Source: RefSeq, a predicted model, not a curated record
UGCGCAGUGGCAUUUUGCGCAGUGCGGUGAAAGUUCAUGGAAGAAGGUUUUGGCGCGUGAGGGGCUGGUUGACUCGCUCGGUAUGAACGGUUACGGUCAGUGAGUGCCAGACCCGGUAUCUGGGUUUAAAAAGAGUGCCAAUUGAUUUCAAACACAUUGGAGUUGUAGAGGGUUGUGCUGAUUUUGAACUGAGACGUGCUUUUCUUUAAAAAAAAUAACAACACACUAAGAAGAUUUGGUGCAAGUGAAGAAAAUAGCAAGUAAAGCCAAGUUAGCGGCCGUUUUAGUUUUUGAAGAUGUCUGAACUUGAUCAUGGCAAAUAUCCAGAAGACAGAAUCCUUUCACUGAAAGAGAAAUUGAUUUGUAGGGAUCUUCAGAUUUUAUCUCUGCAAUCAAUACUGGGAGAGCCUCACCAUUAUAGUUAUCCAUCUGUUUUUGUGUAUGGACAUACUGCCACAGGGAAAACUUAUGUGACAGAAACAUUGCUGAAGACAUUGAAGUUUCCUCACGUGAUUGUGAACUGUGUGGAAUGUUUUUCUUCAAGGAUGCUUUUUGAACAAAUACUUAAUCAGCUGCAGGGUCAUUCGCUAUCCCUCAAGAAUGAAUAUACUUCAUGUCUGCAGUCUAACACAUUCAAUGAAUUUGUUCUACUUUAUAAGCAAGUGGUCCACAAGCAGAAUUUGCACAAUCAAACUGUCUACAUUGUGUUGGAUAAAGCAGAACGUUUGAGGGAAAUGGAUUCCAACCUGUUGCCUGGAUUUCUGAGGUUUCAAGAAUUGGCUGAAGAAAAUGCAACUGUUAUUUUCCUUAGUGAGAUUGUUUGGGAGAAAUUUCGGCCAGGUACAGGCUGCUUUGAGCCCUUAAUUUUGCAUUUUCCUGACUAUAACAAAGCUGAUCUCCAGAAAAUUCUUUCACAAGACCAUCCUCCAGAAUUCUCUGCAGAUUUUUAUGCUACUUAUAUUAACAUUCUGCUUGGAGUGUUCUACCCUGUCUGUCGAGACUUAAAAGAGCUACGACAUCUAGCUGCACUAAAUUUUCCAAAGUUCUGUGAACCUGUUCAAAGAGGAGAUGCCAAAGAAGAGGAUACUCGACGGCUGUGGCGAAACAUUGAACCACAUCUGAAAAAAGCAAUGGAAACGGUUUAUUUACGAGAAAUCUCAAGUUCUCAGUGGGAGAGGCUGCAGCAAGAAGAUAAAGAAGGUGAACAUCUGAAAGGACUUUCCAUGCAUGCACAUGUUGAACUUCCAUUUUACUCCAAAUUCCUGCUGAUUGCAGCCUACCUCUCCUCCUACAAUCCUGCUAGAACAGACAAAAGGUUUUUCUCAAAGUAUCAUGGGAAAAUUAAGAAAACCUCAUUUCUGAAAAAGCAUGAGAAGACCAGCAAUCACCUCCUUGGCCCCAAACCAUUCCCACUGGAUAGGUUGUUGGCAAUUUUCUACAGCAUUGUCGAUUGCAGAGUGACUCCCACGGCAAAUAUUUUUUCUCAGAUUACUUCCCUAGUGGCACUUCAACUGUUAACCCAUGUCGGCCAUGAUGAUCAGCUGAAUGGACCAAAGUAUAAAUGCACGACAAGUCUGGAUUUCAUCACAGCAAUUGCCAGCAGCCCUGUGCUUUUUCCUGGUUGCUGAAUACAAGAUAGUCAAACCCCCUACGUACGCCCUGGAGGUCUCUCAAAGCACCAACUGAUUACUGACUGCACCUGAAUUGAUGUCUUAGAAGAUCCCAAACUCCCCUUGUGAGGACGGUGAAUUUUGAUAUAGUGAGAUACUUGUAUGAUUUCUUGUGAGACCAAAUACAGCCAUAUGAUACUGCAAGCAAUGAUCACUGCUUUUGCACCGAUUGAUACUGAUUCAUCCACUCCACUGAGAAGUGACAAACAUUUUGGCUGCAUUUGAUUUGUCCAAGCAGGUGUUAGCACAGUAUGGAAUCUGAUAGCAAUAUCUUGAUUGGUCAGAAUGGAUCUUUAAAAUGAACUAUUUACCAGGAAUCUUCAGUAUUUUGGAGCUAAGUGUUAAUUAUGAGCAGCAGGAAUUCAGCGCAAUCUGUUACAACGCAAUAACAAUAUAUUAGCACAAAAGGCACCUGAAAUAUAUUUAUUUUCAAUUAUUUUCCUUUAUGAAGUAUCCUUUUCUCAGAAUAUAGUGUGGUAGCCAUUAUGUGUGACUAACCUUCCAAUUUUAUUAACUCUCUGCUGUAAUAUUUUGUAGCCCUUAUUAAUUUUGUUUUGAAUCCUCUUUAGUGUACAAAAUAAAUGAAUAUAAUGC